Molecule: ribosomal RNA, 619 nt
Filed under: fungal sp.
Lineage: Eukaryota; Fungi
Description: eukaryotic LSU rRNA
Rfam family: 5.8S ribosomal RNA (bases 237-390)
Source: RNAcentral
UCCGUAGGUGAACCUGCGGAAGGAUCAUUAAAAGAUAUGGCAUAUUCCAUGUGGAUAUACCCAAUCAACCCAUUCUGAGUACCUUACCUGCUGCUUUCACACAGCGUCUGCGCUCUUUUGUGUGGACAUCCAAACCGGCAUUAGCUUGUUGGCCUUGGACAUGUGUGAAAGGUAUACAUCAAACUCUUGCAUUACCAUGUAUUCUGUCUGAUUAUGUUUAAUACAAAAAAUAUUAAAACUUUCAACAACGGAUCUCUUGGUUCUCGCAUCGAUGAAGAACGCAGCGAAAUGCGAUAAGUAGUGUGAAUUGCAGAAUUCAGUGAAUCAUCGAAUCUUUGAACGCACAUUGCGCCUCCUGGUAUUCCGGGAGGCAUGCCUGUUCGAGCGUCAUUAAAAACCACUCAAGCUCUUUUGCUUGGUAUUGGGAGAUGAGUAUACUUUUCCUAGUUUACUCACUCUCGAAAUUCAAAGGCGUAGAGCCCCACAUACCACAGCGUAGUAAGUUUUCUUUCGCUUGGAGUGUGAGGUGAUAUUGCCACAAACCCCCAAUUAUUUUCUAGGUUGACCUCGGAUCAGGUAGGGAUACCCGCUGAACUUAAGCAUAUCAAUAAGCGGAGGA